Molecule: long non-coding RNA, 1025 nt
Filed under: Mytilus galloprovincialis (Mediterranean mussel)
Lineage: Eukaryota; Metazoa; Mollusca; Bivalvia; Mytilida; Mytilidae
Source: RNAcentral
AGCUUCUAUGGCUAAAAUAGAACAACGGAGAAAAUGAUUUUUUUUGGCUUUUUGAAGAAAAUAGGACGAUUCAAAAAACAUUUAAAUAAAUUGAAAAGCCAAAAAAAUCAUUAAUGAGAGAUUUAACCAAAAAAAUUAAGGUGAGACAUUCAGGCUCUUGAGAGCCUUUUAUUUCAAGAUCGCGUUGAAACGUGAAAUUCGGCCACCAUUAAAAAAAAAGUCGUACGAGAUUUUACGAGAGUGACGAAACUUUGUAGAUGGGUCGUGUAGAGAGAUUUAUCGUUCUUUAUUCCAAAACGAUGCUUCUACCAUAAGUGCCAGCUAAAGCUGGCAUAUCAAUAUUAAAGCCACAAUAUGCAAUCUAUAAUGAUAAUAGUAUCGUAACUAUAUCCUUUCUUAAUAAUAGUUAUAAAAAGCACCAGGAUUAUAAUUUAGUACUUUAGUACGCCAGACACGCGUUUCGUUUAGACUCAUAAGUGACGCUCAUAUCAAAAUAGGUAUAUAACCAAACAAGUAGAAAGUUGAAGGGCAUUGAUGAUCCAAAAUUCCAAAAUGUUGUGCCAAAUAAGGUAAUUUAUUCUUUGACAAGACAAUCCUUACAUAUCGGACAUAUAAGUAACCUUAAUUGUCCUAAUCAGAAUCGAAAUAAUUGAUGCCAGCUAUACUUUAUUGUUGUUUUAACAUGGGUAAGCAUUAUAUUCAUGUUAUUUAGCACUCAUUAUCGCUCGGACAAAAAUAAUCACGAAAAAAAGUCCAAGUCCUAUGUCAAAUAGGUAACAAAAGAAAGUAAACAAAAUAAAAAUAAUACAUAUAUAACAAAUGACUACUAACAGUUACUGAUAUGCCAGUGCAAGACCUUAAUUAAUCUGAUUGAACGAUUAUGUCUUUAUCCGUGACUGAAUUAAAGUAUAUAACAAUGCGUAAGCCUUAUUUAAGUAUUGGUAUUAUCAUCUGAUAAAGUCAUACCGAUUAUGAGAUACACAGUUUUCUCUGCUUUUGCAAGAUAUUUCUGUUAGAACCCGUCG